Non-coding RNA from Callorhinchus milii (elephant shark), 72 nucleotides. NCBI's taxonomy places the organism in Eukaryota, Metazoa, Chordata, Chondrichthyes, Chimaeriformes, Callorhinchidae. The record is from the annotation of a RefSeq genome assembly.
AGUCCUGUAGCUCAAUGGUUAGAGAACUCGCUUUGAAAGCGAGAGGCCUUGGUUCGAUUCCUGGCAGGACAA